AUUAGCAAUGAGUCCACUCUGCAUGCAAUCGUAGAUAUUUCUUAUAACAAUGGAAGAGGGGUCAAGGUGUUGCCAAGGAAGUGCCUUCCAAUCCACAGCAGUCAAAUGAACAUUUUUGUGUUUAUAGUGUUUCUAUUUUUGAUGUUUUUGUUGUCAUUAUUGUAAAUGCUAAUGGACAUUGUUGGUUUUUGAAUGGAUGUGCUUUUAAUUUUAAUGUACCUGUAUGUACCAUAUAUUUGUGAAGAAACAUUCAUUUAAUAUCAAAUGCACCUAUUUAUUGAAAGGGUAUGUAUAUAAUAAUUUCACAAACAUCCCAAAAAAUUAUUUUGGUUAUAAAAGUCAUAUAUAUAUAUGCCUUUUCCACUAUAUGUUGAUAUUACAUUCUGAAACUGGUCUGAGAGAUCUAUCGUGCUCCUCCGUUGUCUUCAUUACAUUUUAUUUGGCACUUGCAAGUGAUUGCUGACAAUGAGAACAUAUGGAAUGACAGUGGUAAUAUGCACUGCAGUAUUAAACAAUAAAAAAAUAUUGAAGCACAGCAUAUUUUGCUAUUAUUGGAGAUUAGGGGGAUGAGAGUAAGUAUGUGUGGUCUUUUAAUGACGGCCCAACAUUUAUCCCAGACUACAGUCUUGUCCUCUGCUCAGUAUCAUUUCAAUUUGUAAAAAACACUGAAGAAAACUGGAUUUCAUUCCAAACUUGUGGCAGUGAGAAUGAUAUUUUCUUCUCUUUCCGGGCUCGAAUAUUACUCUUAUUUUUCAGCUCCUUAAUGAUGCAGCCUCCCCUGUCCCUCCUUGCUCCUCUCAGCAGGUGUUUUCUUUGCUGUAUUCAUUCUAACACAAAUUUGUUGCAAAACUUCUGGCAGUCAGUCAUGGCUGUCAGAUAUCUUGGAUUCUGGAACUCAACAGGAUGUUGAGCAAACUCCUUAAGUGAUCCAAUGUGCAAGGCAUUCGAAAUGUUUGUAGUUUUCUACAGAUAUUAAAUUGUGUAGCAAUAUAUCAAUGUAAGUGGAUAAUCACAGUUUCCUCUUUUUUCUUACUUGGGAGUGUCUUUUUGCCUUUUCAAAGGCUUGGCACAUUGCUUUGGCAAGAGUUUCUCGUACAAUUGAAAAAGCAGUUUAGGAGAUAAAUCUGUUUCAAGCAAUCCUGUUUCACAUCAACAAAUCCAAUGUGCCUGUAGACCUCGAGCCUCAGACCCCUGGUUCCGUGUUUGAGUAAAGUGGCAGAAAUAUGAUAUGCAGCGAACUUGUCUAACUUGACUUUGUGCCAGACAAGAAAAGUGUCAGCAAACAACAUGUAUGGGAAUCUUAAGAGAUCAAAAAAAAGAAAGCUGCAAUUUCCUCACAUUAUCUAAUGGUAGAUAAAGGCAUCAGAGCUGCCAUUCAAUGCAACGUUUCUUGAUCAUUGUGUAUUUCUGUAAGGAGUUUAAAUGACCUACCCUUACAGUAACAGAGGGCGAUAAAGUCCUGACAAAAUAAAUAUGAUCCAACAUUC
Long non-coding RNA from Etheostoma spectabile (orangethroat darter), 1487 nucleotides. RefSeq lists it as uncharacterized. The transcript has 2 exons. Lineage: Eukaryota; Metazoa; Chordata; Actinopteri; Perciformes; Percidae. The record is from RefSeq and is a predicted model, not a curated record.